GACUGCUAGGAUGGUCUGAGACCGCUGCGUGAGUGACUUCAAGGCCUCGACGGUAUAUGAGAAGGAGGUUGCCAACUGUUGGAGACCUAUAUGAGUAACAAAUCACAAAAAGAGGGGCAUCGAAAAGGUUUGGAGGUGCUAGGAACUAGGGGUGGACAAGAAAACCCUAGGUGCUAGGGUUUCUUCUUCUUUGGGAUUGACGGCUGGGAUUUUAUAAGUAAGAUGCUAGGGCGUGAGAGAGAGAGAGAAGAG
Molecule: long non-coding RNA, 252 nt
Filed under: Elaeis guineensis (African oil palm)
Lineage: Eukaryota; Viridiplantae; Streptophyta; Magnoliopsida; Arecales; Arecaceae
Description: long non-coding RNA (EGUI_LNC001762)
Source: RNAcentral